GACGAACGCUGGCGGCGUGCCUAACACAUGCAAGUCGAGCGAGGUGAUUUCUUCGGAAUGAUCCUAGCGGCGGACGGGUGAGUAACACGUGGGUAACCUGCCUCAGUGAGGGGGAUAGCCUUCCGAAAGGAAGAUUAAUACCGCAUAAUAUCUGAUGAUCGCAUGAUUAUUUGAUUAAAGGAGUAAUCCGCACUGAGAUGGACCCGCGGCGCAUUAGCUAGUUGGUGAGGUAACGGCUCACCAAGGCCACGAUGCGUAGCCGACCUGAGAGGGUGAUCGGCCACAUUGGAACUGAGAUACGGUCCAGACACCUACGGGUGGCAG
RNAcentral lists this ribosomal RNA (324 nucleotides) under uncultured Bacillota bacterium. RNAcentral describes it as "bacterial SSU rRNA". It matches the Rfam family "Bacterial small subunit ribosomal RNA", at positions 28 to 351 of the family's 1533-position model. Lineage: Bacteria; Bacillati; Bacillota. The record is from RNAcentral.